Molecule: non-coding RNA, 46 nt
Organism: Octopus bimaculoides (California two-spot octopus)
Lineage: Eukaryota; Metazoa; Mollusca; Cephalopoda; Octopoda; Octopodidae
Source: Rfam
AUAACGGUCCUUUUCAGGACCACAUAUUUUCAUGAUUGUAACUUCA